RNAcentral lists this ribosomal RNA (709 nucleotides) under Microbacterium sp. RNAcentral describes it as "bacterial SSU rRNA". It matches the Rfam family "Bacterial small subunit ribosomal RNA", at positions 43 to 763 of the family's 1533-position model. Lineage: Bacteria; Bacillati; Actinomycetota; Actinomycetes; Micrococcales; Microbacteriaceae. The record is from RNAcentral.
CGUGCUUACACAUGCAAGUCGAACGGUGAAGCAGAGCUUGCUCUGUGGAUAUGUGGCGAACGGGUGAGUAACACGUGAGCAAUCUGCCCCUGACUCUGGGAUAAGCGCUGGAAACGGCGUCUAAUACCGGAUACGAGACGUGAAGGCAUCUUCAACGUCUGGAAAGAACUUCGGUCAGGGAUGAGCUCGCGGCCUAUCAGCUAGUUGGUGAGGUAAUGGCUCACCAAGGCGUCGACGGGUAGCCGGCCUGAGAGGGUGACCGGCCACACUGGGACUGAGACACGGCCCAGACUCCUACGGGAGGCAGCAGUGGGGAAUAUUGCACAAUGGGCGCAAGCCUGAUGCAGCAACGCCGCGUGAGGGACGACGGCCUUCGGGUUGUAAACCUCUUUUAGCAAGGAAGAAGCGAAAGUGACGGUACUUGCAGAAAAAGCGCCGGCUAACUACGUGCCAGCAGCCGCGGUAAUACGUAGGGCGCAAGCGUUAUCCGGAAUUAUUGGGCGUAAAGAGCUCGUAGGCGGUUUGUCGCGUCUGCUGUGAAAACUGGAGGCUCAACCUCCAGCCUGCAGUGGGUACGGGCAGACUAGAGUGCGGUAGGGGAGAUUGGAAUUCCUGGUGUAGCCGGUGGAUGCGCAGAAUAUCACGGAGGAACACCGAUGGGGAAGGCAGAAUCUCGGGGCCGUAACUGACGCUGAGGAACCGAAGGGUG